UACAGAGGGUGCGAGCGUUAAUCGGAAUUACUGGGCGUAAAGCGCACGUAGGUGGCGACGUAAGUCGGGUGUGAAAGUCCCGGGCUCAACCUGGGAAUUGCAUUCGAGACUGCAUUGCUGGAGUACGGAAGAGGAGGGCGGAAUUCCCGGUGUAGCGGUGAAAUGCGUAGAUAUCGGGAGGAACAUCAGUGGCGAAGGCGGCCCUCUGGUCCAGUACUGACACUCAAGUGCGACAGCGGGGGGAGCAAACAGG
RNAcentral lists this ribosomal RNA (253 nucleotides) under uncultured bacterium. Its description in RNAcentral is "partial 16S ribosomal RNA". It matches the Rfam family "Bacterial small subunit ribosomal RNA", at positions 524 to 776 of the family's 1533-position model. The record is from RNAcentral.